Molecule: ribosomal RNA, 494 nt
Filed under: uncultured bacterium
Lineage: Bacteria
Description: partial 16S ribosomal RNA
Rfam family: Bacterial small subunit ribosomal RNA
Source: RNAcentral
GACGAACGCUGGCGGCGCGCUUAACACAUGCAAGUCGAACGGAAAGGCCUGCUUUCCCUUGUGGAUUGCGGGUACUCGAGUGGCGAACGGGUGAGUAACACGUGAGUGAUCUGCCCCCAACUUGGGUAUAAGCCUGGGAAACUGGGUCUAAUUCCCGAUAGGACUGCAGGGUGGUGCCUGUGGUGGAACACGAUUUUCUAGUGGUUGGGGAUGAGCUCGCGGCCUAUCAGCUUGUUGGUGGGGUAAUGGCCUACCAAGGCGGCGACGGGUAGCCGGCCUGAGAGGGUGGACGGCCACAUUGGGACUGAGAUACGGCCCAGACUCCUACGGGAGGCAGCAGUGGGGAAUAUUGCACGAUGGGCGGAAGCCUGAAGCAGCGACGCCGCGUGGGGGAUGACGGCCUUCGGGUUGUAAACUCCUUUCGACCGCGAGGAAGCCACCUGGUUGGAAGGGUGGUGACGGUAGUGGUAGAAGAAGCACCGGCUAACUACGUG